This 1516-nucleotide long non-coding RNA is filed under the name Homo sapiens (human). RNAcentral's name for it is "HSALNT0056258". Lineage: Eukaryota; Metazoa; Chordata; Mammalia; Primates; Hominidae. The record is from RNAcentral.
CCACUCUCCUGUGCUGACUGAAACGAAGUAUGACACCAGUCUUGCCCAGGCAAGCUGCUUCUUGUGAAUAGGAAGUGAACAACCCUGGAUUCCAGGCCAGGGGGAGAGAGGUGAGAGAUAUGAACUCAUCAGCAGAAAUGUGAGUUCUUCCCAGCUUCUCCGUGCUGAUACCCCAUGGUUCUCCUACCACCAGAUGCUACUGAGGCUAAACUGACUGGACUGAGGAAAAAUAUCUGUGGGGAAAACUUUCUUUCAGAAUCCAACUUUGAACCAGAGAAAUCCAUUCUCUUGAAGCUGUCUGCUGUGGAGAAGUUGGCCUUACCAAUCUGCCUUUGAAGUUCAAGUUAUACAGGAUCUGCGAGGCUACCUGUGAAUGAAUGGUUGGUUGGUCACUACUUGCAAGUUUUUCAGGAGCUCCUGAAAGAUUACUGCAUAAAUAAGGGAAGAUGGAGACCAGACCUCUGGCUACUGUUGCUGCCACCACUACAGAUACCACCUUCACCCUUAUGAACCCCCUAUUUACUGAACAUUCUCUAUAUGCCAGAUGCAAAAUUGGCUACCACAUUGGAAACUGAUAUUGAAUUUCUCAACGAGUCCAACAGAGUCAGUUUUCCUCCAACACUGAAACAGACCUUGCUUUCUUCAGUUGAGCAACAACUAAAGAUUAUGGACCCAGCUCGUGUGGAGGUGCCAUAUUGCAUAAACAGUGCAUACAGUGAGCCCUCGCAUUCACACUCAGCAUGAUGUGAUUACGACAGUAUGUAUUUCCAUAGGGACUAAAUCAUGCUUAGGCAGAGCAGUUUUACAUCUUUCUCAUGCCCAUUCACUUUAGGGCAUGUGUUUGUUGGGUGGCAUUGUCAGCAUUGUUUAAUUAUUUACCUCUUUUGCAUUAUUUAAAUUGGUUGUCUCUUUGCUUUAUUUUUCUUUUAUAGGAGAAGUGACGAUAUUUAAUAAAAUUUAAUGUGAUGGUGCAACUUCAAUGUAUAUCUAUAUACUCAUAGUAGUUUUAGUGAUGUUCUAUUCAGUUCAAUAAACAUUUAUUAGAGGCUUAUUUUAUGUUUGCAAGUAUACAACAUUUAUGUAAAAUCUUAGGACCAAUCAGGAAAGACUCAUGGGAAAGUCCUGAAUCAGCUACCAGUUCUCAUCUUUCUUCCUCUGACUCAUACAUGACUCUUCUGUCCUUUAAAUAAGAGAGUGAUGCUUUAUUUGAAGGAUAGUGAUAGUGACUUGUGGAGUGAGUAAAAGUACAGCUCCUUAUGGUGAAGGUGUAGAAGAGGACCAAGGAGAUGUACAGUCAGCCCUGCACAUUUUAUACUUGAUUAUAUUCCAUCAUGUGCAUAUUUUUACUGUUGUACUACAGAUACCCACCCUAAUCAUUUUUAUUUAGUUAUUUUUUAUUUUAUUUUAAAUUCUGGGAUACAUGUGCAGAACACGCAGAUUUAUUACAUAGGUAUACAUGUAUCAUGGUGGUUUGCUGCACCUAUCAACCUGUCAUCUAGGUUUUAAGCCCCACAUG